GGCUUCGUAGCUCAGCUGGUAGAGCGUGCGCUGUAAAAAUCAUAAGCGACAUCCAUUCGUAGGUUCGAAUCCCACCGAAGCUA
RNAcentral lists this transfer RNA (83 nucleotides) under Echinostoma caproni. It matches the Rfam family "tRNA". Rfam says of the family: Transfer RNA (tRNA) molecules are approximately 80 nucleotides in length. Their secondary structure includes four short double-helical elements and three loops (D, anti-codon, and T loops). Further hydrogen bonds mediate the characteristic L-shaped molecular structure. tRNAs have two regions of fundamental functional importance: the anti-codon, which is responsible for specific mRNA codon recognition, and the 3' end, to which the tRNAs corresponding amino acid is attached (by aminoacyl-tRNA synthetases). tRNAs cope with the degeneracy of the genetic code in two manners: having more than one tRNA (with a specific anti-codon) for a particular amino acid; and 'wobble' base-pairing, i.e. permitting non-standard base-pairing at the 3rd anti-codon position. The record is from Rfam by way of RNAcentral. Lineage: Eukaryota; Metazoa; Platyhelminthes; Trematoda; Plagiorchiida; Echinostomatidae.